Araneus ventricosus is the source of this 74-nucleotide non-coding RNA. Lineage: Eukaryota; Metazoa; Arthropoda; Arachnida; Araneae; Araneidae. The record is from the annotation of a GenBank genome assembly.
AGGCACCGGCGAGAGUCUAACUCAGGAUCUCCUGUUUGCUAGACAGGCACUUUAACCAACUAGGCCACGGCGCC